This 467-nucleotide ribosomal RNA is filed under the name uncultured bacterium. RNAcentral's name for it is "bacterial SSU rRNA". It matches the Rfam family "Bacterial small subunit ribosomal RNA", at positions 29 to 506 of the family's 1533-position model. The record is from RNAcentral.
ACGAACGCUGGCGGCGUGCUUAACACAUGCAAGUCGAACGCUGAAGCUCUAGCUUGCUGGGGUGGAUGAGUGGCGAACGGGUGAGUAACACGUGAGUAACCUGCCCAUGUCUCUGGGAUAAGCGCUGGAAACGGCGUCUAAUACUGGAUAUGACCCAUCACCGCAUGGUGUGUGGGUGGAAAGAUUUAUCGGAGAUGGAUGGACUCGCGGCCUAUCAGCUAGAUGGUGAGGUAAUGGCUCACCAUGGCGACGACGGGUAGCCGGCCUGAGAGGGUGACCGGCCACACUGGGACUGAGACACGGCCCAGACUCCUACGGGAGGCAGCAGUGGGGAAUAUUGCACAAUGGGCGCAAGCCUGAUGCAGCAACGCCGCGUGAGGGAUGACGGCCUUCGGGUUGUAAACCUCUUUUAGUAGGGAAGAAGCGUAAGUGACGGUACCUACAGAAAAAGCACCGGCUAACUACGU